Molecule: small nuclear RNA, 105 nt
Organism: Mastomys coucha (southern multimammate mouse)
Lineage: Eukaryota; Metazoa; Chordata; Mammalia; Rodentia; Muridae
Source: RefSeq, a predicted model, not a curated record
GCUUCCUUCCAGCAGCACAUAAACAAAACUGGAACAAUACAGAGAAGAGUAGCACAGCUCCUGCACAGGGAUUACACACAAGUUUGUGAAGCAUUUCAUAUUUUU